GAUCAUGGCUCAGGAUGAACGCUAGCUACAGGCUUAACACAUGCAAGUCGAGGGGCAGCGGGAUUGAAGCUUGCUUCAAUUGCCGGCGACCGGCGCACGGGUGAGUAACGCGUAUCCAACCUUCCGUACACUCAGGGAUAGCCGUUUCGAAAGAAAGAUUAAUACCUGAUGGUAUGAUGAGAUUGCAUGAUAUCAUCAUUAAAGAUUUAUCGGUGUUACGAUGGGG
Molecule: ribosomal RNA, 226 nt
Filed under: uncultured bacterium
Lineage: Bacteria
Description: partial 16S ribosomal RNA
Rfam family: Bacterial small subunit ribosomal RNA
Source: RNAcentral